Long non-coding RNA from Dreissena polymorpha, 667 nucleotides. RefSeq lists it as uncharacterized. The record is from RefSeq and is a predicted model, not a curated record. The transcript is spliced from 2 exons. Lineage: Eukaryota; Metazoa; Mollusca; Bivalvia; Myida; Dreissenidae.
GAUGCACAAAUUUGGGGGUUCUUACAAUUUUAAAUCCCAAACAUUAUGUAUGUUGGUGUUGCUAUUGAGUCCAAAAAUAGAUAUUUGCAGUUAGUUUGUAUGCAUAUUUUUCUUACUCAUAUGUAUGAAAAAAAGAAACAGAAAGUUUUUUGCUGCUAAUUUUUAUGCAAUUUUUUGCUGCUAGUUUUUCUGCAUUUUUUUUUCUGCUGGGUUUUAUGCAUUUUUGCUGCUAGUUUUUAUUCAUAUCUUUGCCUUGUGUUUACAGUUUACUGCUUCCGACUCCAAGCAUGCGUCCAUCCGCCCUGCAGCCAAAGUUCUUUGGCAGUGGCCACCCGUCAUCUCUGGCCCAGCUGGUUUCGAGGUUGGGGCAUUUGGGCCGCUGGGUCAGCGUUGUUGGGUGGCCAUAUGGCAAUCAGUGCCGGAUGGACGCUUUUUACCUGGCACAUUUUUUUGGGAAAAUAUAUAUGAUUUUGUUGGGAGUGCUGAUGGCCGUCACCCGGAGUCAGCACUCAUAUACAAUUUAUUUGUGCAGUUAGUUAUUUGCAGUUAGUUUGGGCUUGCCAUGUUCGCAGGUGGCCCUUGCUGCUUGGAGUCGAGACAUUAUAUGCCAGAACCAUUUUUUUAUGUUUUUAUGUUAUAAGGUCCUUUAAUAAAAAGUAAAAAUUUA